RNAcentral lists this ribosomal RNA (253 nucleotides) under uncultured bacterium. Its description in RNAcentral is "partial 16S ribosomal RNA". It matches the Rfam family "Bacterial small subunit ribosomal RNA", at positions 524 to 776 of the family's 1533-position model. The record is from RNAcentral.
UACGGAGGGUGCGAGCGUUAAUCGGAAUAACUGGGCGUAAAGGGCACGCAGGCGGGCUUUUAAGUGAGAUGUGAAAUCCCCGGGCUUAACCUGGGAAAAGCAUUUCAGACUGGGAGUCUAGAGUACUUUAGGGAGGGGUAGAAUUCCACGUGUAGCGGUGAAAUGCGUAGAGAUGUGGAGGAAUACCGAAAGCGAAGGCAGCCCCUUGGGAAUGUACUGACGCUCAUGUGCGAAAGCGUGAGGAGCCAACAGA